RNAcentral lists this ribosomal RNA (440 nucleotides) under uncultured bacterium. RNAcentral's name for it is "partial 16S ribosomal RNA". It matches the Rfam family "Bacterial small subunit ribosomal RNA", at positions 338 to 795 of the family's 1533-position model. The record is from RNAcentral.
CCUACGGGAGGCAGCAGUGGGGAAUAUUGCACAAUGGGGGGAACCCUGAUGCAGCGACGCCGCGUGAGUGAAGAAGUAUUUCGGUAUGUAAAGCUCUAUCAGCAGGGAAGAAAAUGACGGUACCUGACUCAGAAGCCCCGGCUAACUACGUGCCAGCAGCCGCGGUAAUACGGAGGGUGCAAGCGUUAUCCGGAUUUACUGGGUGUAAAGGGAGCGUAGACGGCAGAGCAAGUCUGAAGUGAAAGCCCGCGGCCCAACUGCGGGACUGCUUUGGAAACUGCCCGGCUAGAGUGCGGGAGAGGUAAGCGGAAUUCCUAGUGUAGCGGUGAAAUGCGUAGAUAUUAGGAGGAACACCAGUGGCGAAGGCGGCGUACUGGACAGUAACUGACGCUGAGGCUCGAAAGCGUGGGGAGCAAACAGGAUUAGAUACCCGAGUAGUC